This 482-nucleotide ribosomal RNA is filed under the name uncultured bacterium. RNAcentral's name for it is "partial 16S ribosomal RNA". It matches the Rfam family "Bacterial small subunit ribosomal RNA", at positions 30 to 507 of the family's 1533-position model. The record is from RNAcentral.
AUUGAACGCUGGCGGCAUGCUUUACACAUGCAAGUCGAACGGUAACAGGCCGCAAGGUGCUGACGAGUGGCGCACGGGGGAGUAAUGCAUCGGAACGUGCCCAGUCGUGGGGGAUAACUACUCGAAAGAGUAGCUAAUACCGCAUACGAUCUAUGGGUGAAAGCGGGGGACCGUAAGGCCCCGCGCGAUUGGAGCGGCCGCUGUCAGAUUAGGUAGUUGGUGGGGGAAAGGCUCACCAAGCCAACGAUCUGUAGCUGGUCUGAGAGGACGACCAGCCACACUGGGACUGAGACACGGCCCAGACUCCUACGGGAGGCAGCAGUGGGGAAUUUUGGACAAUGGGCGCAAGCCUGAUCCAGCAAUGCCGCGUGCAGGAAGAAGGCCUUCGGGUUGUAAACUGCUUUUGUUCGGAACGAAACGGCUCUGGUUAAUACCCGGGUCUAAUGACGGCACCGUAAGAAUAAGCACCGGCUAACUACGUG